CCUACGGGAGGCAGCAGUGGGGAAUAUUGCACAAUGGGGGCAACCCUGAUGCAGCGACGCCGCGUGAGUGAAGAAGUAUUUCGGGAUGUAAAGCUCUAUCAGCAGGGAAGAAAAUGACGGUACCUGACUCAGAAGCCCCGGCUAACUACGUGCCAGCAAACGCGGUAAUACGGAGGGGGCAAGCGUUAUUCGGAUUUACUGGGUGUAAAGGGAGCGUAGACGGCUAAUCAAGUCAGAAGUGAAAACCCAGGGCUCAACCUUGGGACUGCUUUUGAAACUGGGUGGCGAGAGUGCAGGAGAGGUAAGCGGAAUUCCUGGUGUAGCGGUGAAAUGCGUAGAUAUCAGGAGGAACACCAGUGGCGAAGGCGGCUUACUGGACUGUAACUGACGUUGAGGCGCGAAAGCGUGGGGAGCAAACAGGAUUAGAUACCCUUGUAGUC
This 440-nucleotide ribosomal RNA is filed under the name uncultured bacterium. Its description in RNAcentral is "partial 16S ribosomal RNA". It matches the Rfam family "Bacterial small subunit ribosomal RNA", at positions 338 to 795 of the family's 1533-position model. The record is from RNAcentral.